Anas platyrhynchos (mallard) is the source of this 1064-nucleotide non-coding RNA. Lineage: Eukaryota; Metazoa; Chordata; Aves; Anseriformes; Anatidae. The record is from RefSeq and is a predicted model, not a curated record.
CUGUUUCUGUGCCUGUGGCCAGGCAGGGCCAUUCCUUAUGGGUGUGAUUUUGCUGCUCCCCUCCUGGGCUCUGCUGGGGCUGUGUCUGCCUCGUGCUGUGCCCACCUGCCUCCAUCCCUGCUCUGUGUGCAUCGCCGGCCGUGCUGCCGUGUGUGAGCAGCUCCAUCUCCGCCAACUGCCAUGUCCCGCGAGACUUUGCCGGGGUUGGAGUGCAGCAAACCCAGGGUUGAGUUACUGGGGCUCUGUGAAGCAAUUGUUUCAAAGGACAAUUACUGCUGCACCACAUCUGUGCAGCUGCCGUUGCUCCCAGUGACAACGAGUAACUGCAAGAGUUUUUGGAGAUGCACAACUGUGUCCCUCUUCUGCUCCCUCUCCAGUGUUGUUGAGCACAAUCUCCUGGGUGCGCCCCCAGCACCCGGCCGUGCCCGCGAGCACUUGCUGCAGUUUCGCCUCCCCUCGAUUUAUUGCCCCUUUGAAAUAUCUCCACUGUGCCCAUUUACUUUUUAAUGCAGCGGAUGAAAAAACACUCUGUCAAGCUUUUCUUGUGAUGCUCUGCCAAUUACAUCAUCGCACUGCUGCAGGAUCAGAGCCCAGCAGAACCCAGGCAUCCUUCUGGGGGAUCUGUCUACCUCGGGGUGAUGAGCACCAGCUCUUUCAUGCGUGUCCUCAGAUGUGUCACUGCACCGUGCUGUUUGGAUCUUCCCGAGCAGAAUGAGCUGUAAUAAACUUGAUAAUCAAAAGCAUCUUGAUGUUCACCUGCUACUACUCAGGCUGGAGGAAAAAAUACUUUCUUAUUCAAAUGAAUGUUGGGUCUGGUGGGUCCCAUUGGCUCUGCCCAGGUGCCGACAGAUGCUCAGUGCCGUGGCGAGCUCCGGUGAGCAGCACCGCACCUCUGGGCUCCCCGCUCCAGCUCAGCAGGUCAAGCAGUCCGUGCUCCUCUCUCCUAGUUUGAAAUGCUGAGCACAAGCAUUUGAUUCAUCAAAUCUGUUUAAUUUUAAGCUAAAAAUAGCAGUUUAAAAUCCUCAAUCAUAUAUAAUUAGUCCUGCAUUUAUUUUUCAACAGAU